This 271-nucleotide ribosomal RNA is filed under the name uncultured bacterium. RNAcentral describes it as "partial 16S ribosomal RNA". It matches the Rfam family "Bacterial small subunit ribosomal RNA", at positions 524 to 794 of the family's 1533-position model. The record is from RNAcentral.
UACGGAGGGGGCUAGCGUUGUUCGGAAUUACUGGGCGUAAAGCGCGCGUAGGCGGAUCGAUCAGUCAGAGGUGAAAUCCCGGAGCUCAACUUCGGAACUGCCUUUGAUACUGUCGAUCUGGAGUCCGGGAGAGGUGCAUGGAAUUCCGAGUGUAGAGGUGAAAUUCGUAGAUAUUCGGAGGAACACCAGAGGCGAAGGCGAUGCACUGGACCGGUACUGACGCUGAGGUGCGAAAGCGUGGGGAGCAAACAGGAUUAGAUACCCGCGUAGU